Molecule: ribosomal RNA, 301 nt
Filed under: uncultured bacterium
Lineage: Bacteria
Description: partial 16S ribosomal RNA
Rfam family: Bacterial small subunit ribosomal RNA
Source: RNAcentral
CAGUCGCCGCGGUAAUACGUAGGUGGCAAGCGUUGUCCGGAAUUAUUGGGCGUAAAGCGCGCGCAGGCGGUUUCUUAAGUCUGAUGUGAAAGCCCCCGGCUUAACCGGGGAGGGUCGUUGGAAACUGGGAGACUUAGAGUGCAGAAGAGGAGAGUGGAAUUCCAUGUGUAGCGGUGAAAUGCGUAGAUAUAUGGAGGAACACCAGUGGCGAAGGCGACUCUCUGGUCUGUAACUGACGCUGAGGCGCGAAAGCGCGGGGAGCAAACAGGAUUAGAUACCCCUGUAGUCCCUGUCUCUUAUA